CCCAGAGCAGAGCGCUGCUGAACACCCAGAAGGUACGCAUGCAGCUUUUAGGCUGCUUGUAGAAGCCAGACCAUAUACUAGGAAGGUACUGCAGCAAGAUGGACUUGGGAAAGGAUCAGUCUCAUUUGCAACUCCAUCAGACACCUGACCGUCGUCAAAGAGAGACCUUUGGUCCAGAAAUCAUUGGAACUUGGAGUUUGCGGAACCGAGAACAACUCAGAAAAAGAAAAGCUGAAGCACAAGAAAAGCAAACUUCACAAUGGGCAUUUGGAGAACAGAAAAAACGCAAGUGGCAGAACACAGGAAGAGGAAAUCAAAGAGGCC
Molecule: long non-coding RNA, 324 nt
Organism: Octodon degus (degu)
Lineage: Eukaryota; Metazoa; Chordata; Mammalia; Rodentia; Octodontidae
Exons: 4
Source: RefSeq, a predicted model, not a curated record